GGGAUGCCACCGUGGUGCUGGGCCUGCAAGGGAGCCCCCAGGAGACUCUAUUAAGCUCCCAUUUGACAAGUUUUAAAACUGGCCCAACCCAGGCAUGUGCACAGGAUCAGAAGCCCCAUCUCUCUAAAUUACUAGGUUGAAAUGCCACAUCUUAACGACUCAUGCACCGUCCACACUACUGCUGCGGUAUCUGUGUCCCACCAGGGCUGUGUUUGAUUUUUUAAAUGAACUCGAUUUGUUUUAUUGUUUUGUAAUUUGAACAUGUAGAGAUGGAGGUAAAUAGAAAACCGGCAUCUGUGUAUUACACAUAGAAAGUCACCAUAAAAAUAAACACAAUGAAUACUCUUCAGCAAAGGGAAUGAAAAAUCUACAACUACAUACCACUGAACACAAAUGGAAAUCACCAACAGGUUGAGGGAGAGAAGCUGAGCCCAGGUGAGUCCAUUUAAAUGACUGAUGGAAAACUAAACGCAGGCAAAAUUAUCUUCUGUUGGGAGUUAGGAGAGUGGCUGCCCUUCUGGAAGGAGGGAUAGAGAGUGGAAAGGGAUGGGGGAGGGGCUUCCCGGAGCCCAGAAAAAUUCUGUUUUGUGAAUUCAAAAUUAGCAAAUUCUGUUUCUCCAUCUGGGUGCUGGUUUCACAGGUUGUUCAGUUUGUGAUGAUUCACUCCGUUUUACAUCCAGUUAACAUCACGGAUGGUGCUAAACUUCAAAAUAAAAAAAAAUUAAAAGUUAAGUAGAAGGGAGUUAACACACUACGGUGCGUAUUAAAUUCUGGCCAGAAACCAGGGUCAGUUUAGGGCCUGAGGUCUGCUCUCCUCUUUUAAGAAAAGGCUGAACAGGUGCGCAGCAGGGGUCAAAGCCUGUGCUGGCCACGUUUUCUGCUCCUCCUCCUCCUCAGGUUUGGAGGGGCAUUGGAAAGGAAAUGACUUUCUCACUGUGCAAUGCCAGGCUUUGUUCAAGCAUUUGGGAAAACAAUGAGGAGGCAGCUUAUUCCCAGCUCCAGGCAGGAGGAGACCUGCAGAGGGUGAGAUUCUCAGGGGAGGAACUGCCAGAAGCCUAAGAGCCUUUUUCCAGAGCUGCCUCCAGGAGAGAAGGUGAUCUACCUGGCUCCGGAUCAAGUCCUUUCUGCUCAGAACAAGCUUUCUGCACUUGUAGGAAUACAUCAAACAAUAUUACCUUGAAACAAGCAGGCACCUCUGCAAGAGAGUGAAUUCUGGAUCAAGCAACAGUUUCUUUAUGUCACUGUGGAAGAAAUCCGGACAAAAGUGAGACAAAAGUUUUCAAUCAAACAAUAAAGCAUGGGGGUUGAUCAAUAUACUCUUGAAAUGAAAAAUUCCAGUCAAAUAACAUGUUUAGAAUUUACACAAGACAAGGUACUUUACCAUGACCCUGAAAUUAUAAAAGUUGAAGGGGGCUGAGAGUGUUCUCAAGGCUUGGAGAAGCAGCAGCUUUCAGCCACCACAGGGAGCUGCAGCGCUCUCAUUUCUGGUUUAUAGGCUUACAACAGUUUUUGAAAGUAUUAGCUGCCUAACUACUGGAACAAGAAUGCCAUUGUUGAAAAAAUCAUCAAGAACAGUAAAUACUUUAAAGAAGAUGACAUUCGUAAUUUAUUCUGAAACUAUUCCAAAAAUAAAGUAUCUAAGGAAGAAUGGCUUGUGCUUUUAUAAGUUCGUAUUUCUAAAAUAGUAAAAUACUGAAUAUUCACAAAUCAGAAAGGAAGACAUUCUUUAAAUCUAUAGUUUCCCAUUUAAACAUAAAUGUUAAUCUUUGCAUAGAAAAAACUAAUUAUUUUGAAUUUUCCGUCAAUAAAAUAUCAUGCUUAAUUUGUUAAAUACUAUAAUUAUAUGUAACAGAUUCUAGAUUGCAAAAAUGUGUUACGCUUUCCCCAAGAACUCCUUGUAGACCCAUAUUUUUUCCUUUCUUAUUCCCAGUACAUUCUGUUAAAUGCCCUUGGCUCUAGGGAGCACAUUAAUUUCUUAGCCAGACCUGUGCACACCAGCACCUGACACAGAGAACUCAUUUUAGAAGCGGGAAGCAGACCCAGAAUCACCCUGCGAUUCGUCUCCCGCUGUGAGGCUUCAUGGAGGUUUGUAGUAGAGGCAAGCUGAGCUACAAGGAUGCUCCCACUAUGCAUCUAGUCCUGCCUUGAUGUGAGAUCAGAGCAGCUGGUGCUCAUGAACUUGGUGAAGACAGAUGCUCUGUCACUGUAACUACUGAAUAAGUACUUUUUCUGCAAAACACAGACUCUAACGGGAAGCAAACCUCUAAACAGAAUGGUCUCUUCUUGGGCCACUAAUAUUUUCUAAAACGUAACUUAUUUUAAUUUUGAAUUGCAUUUAAAGUUGAAUUGCAUUUUUCUUUCUCAUAUUCCUAUCUUCUAAUGAAACAUGGAG
This 2392-nucleotide long non-coding RNA is filed under the name Homo sapiens (human). RNAcentral's name for it is "HSALNT0360325". The record is from RNAcentral. Lineage: Eukaryota; Metazoa; Chordata; Mammalia; Primates; Hominidae.